This 23-nucleotide microRNA is filed under the name Rehmannia glutinosa. Its description in RNAcentral is "rgl-miR7804-3p". The record is from miRBase by way of RNAcentral. Lineage: Eukaryota; Viridiplantae; Streptophyta; Magnoliopsida; Lamiales; Orobanchaceae.
UUUAAUCGAAUGAACAUUUUAAA